GCGCCUGCAAAACCCUAGUUCGCUCUUCAAUUUCCUUUUUUCAGUUUCAAACGCGAAACAGCUACCAGAGAAGUUUCUCUUCUCACAUUUCAUCGAAUUUUUCUUUUUUCCGGCCGCUGCCUCUACUCUCUCGUAAUCCAGCAUUCAGAAUCGAACCGUGUAGAGAUCCUUCAAGACGAUAUGGCAGCACUCAAGGAGCAAUUUCACUGGAAACGUCAGAGGAAAUGGCAGUUCCCCGUGUUGCCGUUGAAAGUUCGGAGGAAAAAUCCAAAGACACAGUAGAGGAGUUACUGUACAACAAAGAUGAUGUCUCAAAGCUGAUGAAAAUGGAACGCAGGCUUGAUACCGAAGGCCUGGGUCAUCAGGAGCGU
This 371-nucleotide unclassified non-coding RNA is filed under the name Hevea brasiliensis (rubber tree). Lineage: Eukaryota; Viridiplantae; Streptophyta; Magnoliopsida; Malpighiales; Euphorbiaceae. The record is from RNAcentral.